RNAcentral lists this ribosomal RNA (477 nucleotides) under Triticum aestivum (bread wheat). RNAcentral describes it as "partial small subunit ribosomal RNA". Lineage: Eukaryota; Viridiplantae; Streptophyta; Magnoliopsida; Poales; Poaceae. The record is from RNAcentral.
AUGAUAUUUUUUGUAUUACUUGGAGAGGAAAGUAUCGCGAUAAAGGAUGGGUCGGAGAUUUGUUUUUGGGAAGAUAUCUGGCUAGGCAAUGCCAGUCUCCCAGAACAAUAUCCAGCCUUAUACAACAUUGUUCGCGAUAAGAAUAAUACUAUUGCACAAGUGCUCAGUUCAUCCCCGCCGAAUAUUUCGUUCAGGCAGGAUUUGAUUGGCCCCUGACUUGUGUCAUAGCAUAAUCUUUUAUCCCGACUAGAUUCGAUUAACCUGACACAAGAUCGGAAUGUGUUUCGCUGGAACCUUACUACAUCAGGGUCCUUCACUGUAGACUCUAUGUAUCAUGCGCUCACACAUUCUGAGGUACCAGUGAGUAAUAACAAGAAAAUUUGGAAGUCCAAGAUUCCACUAAAAGUAAAAAAAUUCAUGUGGUAUCUUUGUGCUAACCAAAGACAAUCUCGCACGGCGCAACUGGCAAGGGAGUAA